CCUACGGGAGGCAGCAGUGGGGGAUAUUGCACAAUGGGGGAAACCCUGAUGCAGCGACGCCGCGUGUGGGAAGACGGUCCUCUGGAUUGUAAACUACUGUCCCCAGGGACGAAGAUGACGGUACCUGGGGAGGAAGCUCCGGCUAACUACGGGCCAGCAGCCGCGGGAAACCGUGGGGAGCGAGCGUUGUCCGGAAUUACGGGGUGUAAAGGGAGCGUAGGUGGGACGGUAAGUUGGGGGUAAAAGCUACCGGCGCAACCGGGAGCCGCCCUCGAAACUGCAGUUCUUGAGUGGGGGAGAGGCAAGCGGAAUUCCUAGUGUAGCGGUGAAAGGCGUAGAUAUGGGGAGGAACACCAGUGGCGAAGGCGACCUGCUGG
Molecule: ribosomal RNA, 377 nt
Filed under: uncultured bacterium
Lineage: Bacteria
Description: partial 16S ribosomal RNA
Rfam family: Bacterial small subunit ribosomal RNA
Source: RNAcentral